This is a long non-coding RNA of Cavia porcellus (domestic guinea pig), 1203 nucleotides long. RefSeq lists it as uncharacterized. The record is from RefSeq and is a predicted model, not a curated record. NCBI's taxonomy places the organism in Eukaryota, Metazoa, Chordata, Mammalia, Rodentia, Caviidae. The transcript has 4 exons.
AACACACAGAGAAACAAAGAGGGAGUGAUCCAAGCUCCAAAUACUUGUCUGGGAUGUACACGCUGAAUUUGAUGUUAAUUAUCUUGAUUGGGGACGGGGGACUGGAAGAAUGGUGAAAGGAAAAAGGAAACUUUUACACAAAAGGAUCUGAGUAUUUACCUUAGAACGAGCUUUCUUAUGUGGACUCAUCCAUCUCUCCCAGCCAUGGAAUAUUUACUAAGCUUUACAGGUUGGCCUUGCCUAUCUACUUGCAAACCCUCCCGACGCCAGGCUACAGAGAAAAAGCAUAACGGAGUUAAAACUACAGAUCACAGAUCAAGGUCAAAAGCCCUGCCGAUUCUUCAUUCUCCAAGUGUGACCACCUGAGAAACUCCUACCUGUCUUCUGGAUGCAGAACAGGCCUGUCCCCUCUGCAAAACUUCCUCUGACAACCAGGCUGGUUUCAGUCUUUUCUCUCUGCUGUCCCCGCUCCCCCCAGGCCUUACCACACUGUGUUACGUGUGCCACUGUCUCCAGGUGCAAGUUCCCUAGAGGUCUUGAAAUACCUCAUUCCAAGCUCAUCUUAACUUGGGGGUUUGUCGUGAAAAGUCUGCUGUGAUUCUAAUGGGCUUUCCUUGAUAGGUAUCAUUGUCCCUGGCAUUUGACAGCUCAUCUCAACUUGGAGCUCCAUUCCUCCCCAGCUGGGGAGGUUUCCUUCCAGUCGGCUGAAUCCAAACCCUGAGAGCACGGCUGAAGUCACAGAGCCAGAGCUGAUCCCUCUGUAAACCAUGAGGACAUUUGCUGUGGGUUAAAGUUCACAAGAAGAGUGUUUUUUCUCACAUGUAGAGUAUUUGCAACAAUUCAGAGUCUUGAAUUUGUUUUUGUUUUUAGGAAGCUCUAAAUUUGCUGUUGGAAUUCUUUGUUUCAGUAAUCCAUGGACUGGUUAUUCUAAUUAUAGCAGCAUGUUGCAAAUGAUUGUUUUUUCUUCAUUGCUGUUAACAUUAAAUCUUUCAUUUUUCCUGAAAACUAGUGUUAAAUUAGUGGCUGGAACUGGCAGUCUGAAUGAUUAUCUUGCUGUGGAUUUCUCUGUUAUGUCAGUUCUGUGUGGGAUUUUAAAAAAAUCAAUAAUUUUAAGUUGACAUGUCAAAUAUUUAUAUUUUUAAAAUAAAGGUGAUAGUUAAUGGUUUUGAAAAAUAAAAAAAAAUUAUGAAAUGAUUGAUUUUA